This 412-nucleotide ribosomal RNA is filed under the name uncultured bacterium. RNAcentral describes it as "bacterial SSU rRNA". It matches the Rfam family "Bacterial small subunit ribosomal RNA", at positions 506 to 916 of the family's 1533-position model. The record is from RNAcentral.
GGCCAGCAGCCGCGGUAAGACAGAGGGUGCAAACGUUGUUCGGAAUUACUGGGCGUAAAGCGCGUGUAGGCGGCUGCGCAAGUCGGAUGUGAAAUCCCAUGGCUCAACCAUGGAAGUGCACCCGAAACUGCGUAGCUAGAGUCUCGGAGAGGAAGGCGGAAUGCUUGGUGUAGAGGUGAAAUUCGUAGAUAUCAAGCGGAACACCGGUGGCGAAGGCGGCCUUCUGGACGAUGACUGACGCUGAGACGCGAAAGCGUGGGGAGCAAACAGGAUUAGAUACCCUGGUAGUCCACGCCGUAAACGAUGAGUGCUAGGUGUCACGGGCUUUGACCCCUGUGGUGCCGUAGCUAACGCAGUAAGCACUCCGCCUGGGGAGUACGGCCGCAAGGCUAAAACUCAAAGAAAUUGACGG